This 467-nucleotide ribosomal RNA is filed under the name Streptococcus constellatus. RNAcentral's name for it is "bacterial SSU rRNA". It matches the Rfam family "Bacterial small subunit ribosomal RNA", at positions 28 to 471 of the family's 1533-position model. Lineage: Bacteria; Bacillati; Bacillota; Bacilli; Lactobacillales; Streptococcaceae. The record is from RNAcentral.
GACGAACGCUGGCGGCGUGCCUAAUACAUGCAAGUAGAACGCACAGGAUGCACCGUAGUUUACUACACCGUAUUCUGUGAGUUGCGAACGGGUGAGUAACGCGUAGGUAACCUGCCUGGUAGCGGGGGAUAACUAUUGGAAACGAUAGCUAAUACCGUAUAAGAACAUUUACUGCAUGGUAGAUGUUUAAAAGGUGCAAGAGCAUCACUACCAGAUGGACCUGCGUUGUAUUAGCUAGUUGGUGAGGUAACGGCUCACCAAGGCAACGAUACAUAGCCGACCUGAGAGGGUGAUCGGCCACACUGGGACUGAGACACGGCCCAGACUCCUACGGGAGGCAGCAGUAGGGAAUCUUCGGCAAUGGGGGGAACCCUGACCGAGCAACGCCGCGUGAGUGAAGAAGGUUUUCGGAUCGUAAAGCUCUGUUGUUAAGGAAGAACGUGUGUGAGAGUGGAAAGUUCACACAG